Molecule: non-coding RNA, 79 nt
Organism: Trichonephila inaurata madagascariensis
Lineage: Eukaryota; Metazoa; Arthropoda; Arachnida; Araneae; Nephilidae
Source: the annotation of a GenBank genome assembly
GCGGUUCCGUAGUGUAAGUGGUUAUCACGUUCGCUUCACACGCGAAAGCGUCUCCGGCUCGAUCCCGACGAACCAAGCA